Molecule: ribosomal RNA, 328 nt
Filed under: uncultured bacterium
Lineage: Bacteria
Description: bacterial SSU rRNA
Rfam family: Bacterial small subunit ribosomal RNA
Source: RNAcentral
GAGAUGUUGGGUUAAGUCCCGCAACGAGCGCAACCCUGAUCCUUAGUUGCCAUCAUUUAGUUGGGCACUCUAAGGAGACUGCCGGUGACAAACCGGAGGAAGGUGGGGAUGACGUCAAGUCAUCAUGGCCCUUAUGGCCAGGGCUACACACGUGUCUACAAUGGACGGUACAAAGGGUUGCUAACUCGCGAGAGUGUGCUAAUCCCAUAAAGCUGUUCGUAGUCCGGAUCGCAGUCUGCAACUCGACUGCGUGAAGUCGGAAUCGCUAGUAAUCGCGGAUCAGAAUGCCGCGGUGAAUACGUUCCCGGGCCUUGUACACACCGCCCGU